RNAcentral lists this ribosomal RNA (301 nucleotides) under uncultured bacterium. RNAcentral's name for it is "partial 16S ribosomal RNA". It matches the Rfam family "Bacterial small subunit ribosomal RNA", at positions 509 to 807 of the family's 1533-position model. The record is from RNAcentral.
CAGUCGCCGCGGUAAUACGAAGGGUGCAAGCGUUGCUCGGAAUGACUGGGCGUAAAGGGCGCGUAGGCGGUUUUGACAGUCAGAUGUGAAAUUCCUGGGCUUAACCUGGGGGCUGCAUUUGAGACGUCAAGACUAAAGUGUGAGAGAGGGUUGUGGAAUUCCCAGUGUAGAGGUGAAAUUCGUAGAUAUUGGGAAGAACACCGGUGGCGAAGGCGGCAACCUGGCUCAUUACUGACGCUGAGGCGCGAAAGCGUGGGGAGCGAACAGGAUUAGAGACCCGAGUAGUCCCUGUCUCUUAUAC